AUUAAAUAGCUCCAGAUGCUGAGUGAAAAGGAUAUUUUAAAUCAGAAAGACACUUUUCUGCAUUGGGCCACAUGAACCCCAAAACCAGGCUUGGCCAGGAAGAUGUGGAGCUUCUGUCCUUUUAAAAUCACCCGGGUAGAGAAAGAGACAACAUGGGCGUUACGGAGGCUUCAGGCUCCCUGGCGAGAGGCACAGAAGGAAGCCCUGUCGGGUCAGGUCAAGCUGGGAGUGCACUCUGUGUGCGUGCCUACCAACAAAGCCCCAAAUACCUGGGAUCGCCCAACGACAGUGGCUGGAGUAAGAGAUGGGAGCAGGAAGACUUGAAAUGGUGCAGAAGAUACAACCCCAUCCGUCAGGAGUGAAAACAAAGAAGAGGAUGGCAUGACUUGGCUUUAGUGUUGACAGCAGGUAUUACAUAACAUCUCUUUGUAGAAGAAGAGGGUAGAUCUUGGACGUCAAUUAUCCUUCCUACUUUUUGAGGAACUAUGUAUUUCUGUAGAAUUAAGAAAUACGGUCCCCAAACGCCCACCUAGCUUGUUGUACCAAAUUACAAUUAGAGACAGCAUGACCUAACUGAAAGAGACCCAGCCAAGACCUUGGAUAAAUAGCUUAGUUUCCCUGGGGAAGCAGGGGAAGGAGGUGUGGGGUAAAUUCCUGCUUCUACUACUACCUAUGACCACAAGUAUCUUUUCUUACUCGUUUCUAGUGGGUUUUUUUUUUUUUUUUUUCUUGGAGGGGAAGGGAAAUUUCUCAAAUAACCCAUGUAAAAAAUAUUUUGUAAACUAGGAAGGAUUAUUAUCACUUGGGCAUUAUUACUAAAGUCUACUUUUCUAAAAUACUCUAUCAUAAUCAAAAUAGUUCAGUCAAGUCAAAUCACCAGACCUAGAGCAUAAACUUUGCGCCACGCCCUGUGCAAUGCAUGAUGGAUUCAAAGAUGCACAAAGGGGAAAGGCACAAGGAGUUACAUUUACUCUGAAGGAUCACUCAUGGUACUACUGUCAUAGCAAGAAAAAAUGGUGGCAUCAACGCUUUGCCAGAGGGACAUUUUCAGAAACAAGUGUGUUACAAAUAUUGAAAUAUUGAAAUCCAGGGGUCAAACCAAUUGAAAUAGACAACCUCUUAUGCCAUUCUCUAAUUUACCAAAUCCAGUUUGUUUAAUAGGGGGUAAAGGCUGGCAAUGACACUCCUAAAUUCUGGAGCACUUCUCCUUUCAAAAUGAUUUUAAAACAAUUAAAUAGAUACUGACAAGACUCCCGGCAGCAAGAACUACUGAAUAUGAUCAGGAGUGAGGAGACCCUUGGUCAUUUAUACAUUCAGGCUAUUU
RNAcentral lists this long non-coding RNA (1324 nucleotides) under Sus scrofa (pig). RNAcentral describes it as "lncRNA (ENSSSCG00070012892.1)". Lineage: Eukaryota; Metazoa; Chordata; Mammalia; Artiodactyla; Suidae. The record is from RNAcentral.